UUCCGGUUGAUCCCGCCGGACCUGACUGCUAUCGGAUUGAUACUAAGCCAUGCGAGUCUUUGCAGUAAUGCAAGGCAUACGGCUCAGUAACACGUAGUCAACUUACCCUAUGGACGAGGAUAAUCUCGGGAAACUGAGCAUAAUACUCGAUAGAUCAUAAUGCCUGGAAUGGUUUAUGGUUAAAAUGAUUCGUCGCCAUAGGAUGGGACUGCGGCCUAUCAGCUUGUUGGUGAGGUAAUGGCCCACCAAGGCGAUUACAGGUACGGGCUCUGAGAGGAGAAGCCCGGAGAUGGGUACUGAGACAAGGACCCAGGCCCUAUGGGGCGCAGCAGGCGAGAAAACUUUGCAAUGUGCGAAAGCACGACAAGGUUAAUCCGAGUGAUUUCUGCUAAAGAAAUCUUUUGCAAGUCAUAAAACCACUAGUGAAUAAGGGGUGGGCAAGUUCUGGUGUCAGCCGCCGCGGUAAAACCAGCACCUCAAGUGGUCAGGAGGAUUAUUGGGCCUAAAGCAUCCGUAGCCGGCUCUGUAAGUUUUCGGUUAAAUUCAUGUGCUCAACGCAUGGGCUGCCGAAAAUACUGCAUAGCUAGGGAGUGGGAGAGGUAGACGGUACUCAGUAGGAAGGGGUAAAAUCCUUUGAUCUAUUGAUGACCACCUGUGGCGAAGGCGGUCUACCAGAACACGUUCGACGGUGAGGGAUGAAAGCUGGGGGAGCAAACCGGAUUAGAUACCCGGGUAGUCCCAGCUGUAAACGAUGCAGACUCGAUGAUGCAUUGGCAUAUAGCCAGUGCAGUGUCGCAGGGAAGCCGUUAAGUCUGCCGCCUGGGAAGUACGUACGCAAGUAUGAAACUUAAAGGAAUUGGCGGGGGAGCACCACAAGGGGUGAAGCCUGCGGUUCAAUUGGAGUCAACGCCGGG
Molecule: ribosomal RNA, 914 nt
Filed under: uncultured marine archaeon
Lineage: Archaea
Description: bacterial SSU rRNA
Rfam family: Archaeal small subunit ribosomal RNA
Source: RNAcentral